Capra hircus (goat) is the source of this 1609-nucleotide long non-coding RNA. RefSeq lists it as uncharacterized. Lineage: Eukaryota; Metazoa; Chordata; Mammalia; Artiodactyla; Bovidae. The transcript has 4 exons. The record is from RefSeq and is a predicted model, not a curated record.
AUGGUCUUUGGUUUGGUCGGUCCGCCGCCCCGGCGCGUCUCUCCCCGGCUCCGGCGGCUCGGUCACUGCUCCCGGCUGUUGGCUGGGCUCUGGAAGCCCCCUUGCCUUAAUGCAGCGCCCGCCGACGUCACGGCGGCCUGCGACCAAUCAGCGGCUCGCGGUCCCUCUGUAAACCAUCCUGCAUCUCCCGGCUGGGGAGAGUGCCGGGAGACCGCGUUUCGAGGAUCAGUGGCGGCUGCCACCGCGGCCCUGCGCGGUGCGGGCGGCGGGCAGCGAGGUGCCCGGGUCCCCUCCUGCUCCGUACGUAUCCUUCAAGGCCCUGCUCAGAUGUCACCUCCUCUGGGCAGUAUUCCUGGAUUCCCUUCCAAGGAAAUGGGAAAACAGACUUCAAGAAGUUCAGAACCAUGACUGAGAACCCCGAGCUUCUGCUCUCUUUUCUCCUUCUCUCCUUUUCUGCCUCCCUAAAGCACAGGGAGGCCUGGCGUGCUGCGAUUCAUGGGGUCGCAAAGAGUCAGACACGACUGAGCGACUGAACUGAACUGAAUUGAAAGCAAAGAUGCCUGGCCUCCAAAAGCCACCCCAUCAAGUCAGGAGACAAGGCAAGCCUGAAGAUGCAAACAGCCUCCAUUUAUGAAAAUGUGACCUACAAGCACCCCCCGCCCCCCAGCAACAACUGCCCCAGGGGUCCCCAGUCCUCAGCCAAGACUCUACUUCUGAGGAUGCCUGGCUCCUCUGUUGCAGGAAGGGGGGCCCCUUCCAGGGCCUGAGAGUGGACUCUUGUCUAACACUCAGAAAUAAAUUGUCUGAGGAAACACACGUGCUGGCAAAGCAAGAGACUUUAUUCGGAAGGUGCACCUGGGCGGCGGAGAAGGCGAUGGCACCCGACUCCAGUACUCUUGCCUGGAAAAUCCCAUGGACGGAGGAGCCUGGUGGGCUGCAGUCCAUGGGGUCGCGAAGAGUCGGACACGACUGAAGUGACUUAGCAGCAGCAGCAGCACCUGGGCGGAGAACGGUAGGUUAAGAGAACCCAGGAGAACAGCUCAGCCGUGUGCUUGCAGCCUUGGGUUUUAUGGGGAUGGGACUAGUUUCUGGGCUGUCUCUGGCCAAUCAUUCUGACUCAGGGUCCUCCCUGGUGGUGCAUGCAUCGCUCAGCCAAGAUGGGUGCCAGCGAGGAGGGUUCUGGGAGGUGGAAGGAUAUGACCUUUCUCAAACUCUUCCGGUUGGUGGUGGCUUGUUAGUUCCACGUUCCUUACCGGGACUGCCUGUCGUAAAAUAACUCGCACAAAUGGUUCCUGUGAUGCCUGGCCAGGGGGGCGGUUUCAGUCAAUACGCCUCCCCAGUACUUCUUCCUCCUUCUUCUAGUCACUGGCCACCCCACCCCGCCUCCAAACCCAUUCCUUCUUGCUUUGUUCCACUGCCACUCUGGGGUGAGAGGGAAGAAAGGAGCCCGGAUCCUGGGCUUAGAGGCUCACAUUGCCCUAGAGUGACCUCUCCCUUGCCUUUCCCAAGGUGACCAUAACCUUGAACAGAUCAUUUAAGGUCUCUGAGACUCCGUUUCCUCACUAGUGAAAUGAGGCUACACUUCCCAGAAUUUUAUAAAGGAAAUGAA